UACAGAGGGUGCGAGCGUUAAUCGGAAUUACUGGGCGUAAAGCGUGCGUAGACGGUAGCGUAAGUCAGAUGUGAAAGCCCCGGGCUCAACCUGGGAAUUGCAUUUGAGACUGCUCUGCUCGGGUGCGGAAGAGGGAAGCGGAAUUUCCGGUGUAGCGGUGAAAUGCGUAGAUAUCGGGAAGAACACCGGUGGCGAAGGCGGCUCACUGGCUCAUUACUGACGCUCAGGCGCGAUAGCGUGGGGAUCAAACAGG
This 253-nucleotide ribosomal RNA is filed under the name uncultured bacterium. RNAcentral's name for it is "partial 16S ribosomal RNA". It matches the Rfam family "Bacterial small subunit ribosomal RNA", at positions 524 to 776 of the family's 1533-position model. The record is from RNAcentral.